This 1567-nucleotide ribosomal RNA is filed under the name Trinomys dimidiatus. RNAcentral's name for it is "16S ribosomal RNA". It matches the Rfam family "Bacterial large subunit ribosomal RNA", at positions 374 to 2853 of the family's 2925-position model. The record is from RNAcentral. Lineage: Eukaryota; Metazoa; Chordata; Mammalia; Rodentia; Echimyidae.
ACUAAACCUAGCCUAAUCUACACACCCUCACAACAUAAAUACACAAAAAAUGUAAAACAAAACAUUUAUAGUUUAAAAGUAUAGGUGAUAGAAAUUCAUUCAAGCGCUAUAGAGAUAGUACCGUAAGGGAAAGAUGAAAGAAGAAAUAAAAGUACAAAACAGCAUAGAUUACACCUAGUACCUUUUGCAUAAUGAGUUAACUAGAAUAAUUUGACACAAAGAACUUAAGUCAAACCUCCCGAAACCAAACGAGCUACUUUUAAACAGCUAAUUAAUGAGCAAACUCAUCUGUGUGGCAAAAUAGUGAGAAGAUUUAAAAGUAGAGGUGAAAAGCCUAUCGAGCUUGGAGAUAGCUGGUUAUCCAAAAAAGAAUUUCAGUUCAACUUUAAGUUUUCCCAAAACACUCUCAAAAUUCCAAUGAAAGCUUAUAUGUUAACUUAAGGGGGGACAGCUCCUUAAGCAAGGAUACAUCCUUUAGCAGAGGGUAAAAAACAACAUAACCAUAGUAGGCCUAAGAGCAGCCACCAAUUAAGAAAGCGUUCAAGCUCAACACAACUCUUUCAAAACUAUACCCAAAAUAUUAUUCACCCCCUGCCACAGACAAUUGGAUUAAUCUAUAGAUAUAUAGAAGAGAUAAUGUUAACAUCAGUAACUAGAACAACUUCUCCUUGCACAAGCUUAAGUCAAACAGUUUUACCUAAUUAACAGCCUUAUAACAUAUACACUUAACCAGCUAAUUAUAUACAUAUAUACUGUAGACCCAACCCAGGAGUGCAAUAAGGAAAGACUUAAAUAAGCAAAAGGAACUCGGCAAACACAAACCCCGCCUGUUUACCAAAAACAUCACCUCUAGCAUAACAAGUAUUAGAGGCCCUGCCUGCCCAGUGACCAUUAGGGUUAAACGGCCGCGGUAUCCUGACCGUGCAAAGGUAGCAUAAUCACUUGUUCUUUAAAUAAGGACUAGUAUGAAAGGCUUGACGAGGGUUUAACUGUCUCUUGCUUACAGUCAGUGAAAUUGACCUUCCCGUGAAGAGGCGGGAAUAAGACAAUAAGACGAGAAGACCCUAUGGAGCUUAAAUCUAUUAAUUCAACUUUACACUACCAAUCUAUAAGAAGCAAAAAACAAAUUAUGAAUUAACAAUUUUGGUUGGGGUGACCUCGGAGCAAAAACAAACCUCCGAAUGAUAUUAACCUAGACACACAAGUCGAAGUUUCCAUCAUAAAUUGACCCAGUAAUUAUCUGAUCAACGAACCAAGUUACCCUAGGGAUAACAGCGCAAUCCUAUUCUAGAGUUCAUAUCGACAAUAGGGUUUACGACCUCGAUGUUGGAUCAGGACCCCCAAAUGGUGCAACCGCUAUUUAAGGUUCGUUUGUUCAACGAUUAAAGUCCUACGUGAUCUGAGUUCAGACCGGAGUAAUCCAGGUCGGUUUCUAUCUAUUAAAAAUUUCUCCCAGUACGAAAGGACAAGAGAAAUGAGGCCAAUAACACAAUUAUGCCUUAAUAGCAAAAGAAUGAUAUUAUAUCAACUCCUUAGCUAUUAAUAUACGCGCCCAAGACAAGGGCCG